This is a long non-coding RNA of Chenopodium quinoa (quinoa), 697 nucleotides long. RefSeq lists it as uncharacterized. The record is from RefSeq and is a predicted model, not a curated record. The transcript has 2 exons. Lineage: Eukaryota; Viridiplantae; Streptophyta; Magnoliopsida; Caryophyllales; Amaranthaceae.
GCCACUAACUAUUAGGCUAUAAAUAGAGAUCAUGACAUAAGUACCUCACUGAGCUAUCAAUAAUCAAAGAUCGAUCUUAAUACCGACUUGAUAGCUAAUUAUAACCACCAAAAUUAUUUUAAUGGGGAGAGUUUUGUUCAAUUGCAUCAAGCUAAUCAUCCUACUUAUUCUUGUGCUAAUUGCUACAACAGGUCCGGUAUAUGCAAGAAUGUCGGAAACAACCAGUGGGCAGAGAGUCCAUAGCAUGAAAGGGACAGAGCCGGCUAAAGGAAGAGGUAGGGUUAGCCAAGUGGUUCUAAAUACAAAAGAAGUUGGCAUACUACAAGAUCAACUUGUAGACACUGAGAAGAAGAAAAAAGAGGCAUGUAUACGAAAAGGCUAUCCUUGUGAACCCUACGCCAAGUGCUGUAACUCUUGCGUUGUUGAUCCCAUCUAUGGCUUUUUUAAAUGCUCCUGAUAAUUUGAUGGUUCUAAUUUCCAAGUCUCAUAAUCUCAUUAAGAGACCUUUGGCCUACCUAUGAUCUAUAAGUUCACGCGUCUUGCUUUUUUGUACUAUGAGAUGACACACGAAAGAGGUCACAUUUGAUUCGGGUGUACAAUAAGUAUGUGAAUUUAUUUUGUAUUAACAAUAAUGUAAACCCAAUAAAUAUUGUAUUAGACUACUAGAGUGAGGUUUCCAAGUUUCGUAUACAUCAAA